RNAcentral lists this long non-coding RNA (1025 nucleotides) under Arabidopsis lyrata. RNAcentral describes it as "long non-coding RNA (ALYR_LNC000126)". Lineage: Eukaryota; Viridiplantae; Streptophyta; Magnoliopsida; Brassicales; Brassicaceae. The record is from RNAcentral.
GGGUCUUGAAAAAGAGAAUAAAAGGCAACAAAUAAUUGAGAAAUAAAUGACAAAAAUAAAUCUAGACUAAUUUCAACCAACCUGCAAAAGAAAAGGAAAUUUGACAUUUAAUUGAAAAGAGUUAAACGCAUACCUUAGCUUGGGGAGGAAGCUCUCGGCCUUGGGACGUCUUCCUCGUACGUUUCAUUAAGUGGCGUCGUUUAGUGUGAUGACAAAGAGAACUUGGGCUUGACUUGUCUUGAGAAGAGGCCUUUCACUUGUUGGUUCAUAAAAGCUUAGGCCAACACUUAAGUCUAGAUUCUUAACCUUUGUUUGUUGCUCCUCCUUGGCCUCUCUUUCUUCUUGUUUAAGCUUAUUGCUACAAAGGGUGAGAUUAUCGAAUUGUGUGAUGGUGUUCUCCAUUUCUUUAUAGCUUAUCAAACUCUCCACAGCUUUGUUGAAUUCUUCCCGCAUUGUCUUUGUACCGGACCUUGUUCUAGGUGGUUGGUACAUAGUCGGAACCCGGACAACUUCGGUAUGGUUUGAACUCAUGUCCUCAUCACUUACAGAAGUCACUCACUCUUUGUAUGUCUACUAACAUUUUAAUGUAGAGCUUUUUUUUAUAUAUACAUUCUAUUUGAGAUAUUUAACCUCUCAAAUAAUCCGUUGAAAAUGAAAAUUAUAGAUUAUCUAUUAUUACGAUUAACGAAUAUCAUAAAUGUGAUAUAAUUAGAAAAAGAAUAUAUAUAAAUUCAAUGGUAUAAAUGAAAUAUAAGAAUAAGCGAUAUUGGAUAAUCACUAAUCUUGAUCGUGAGGCUUGGAUUUCAACCAUUAGUCUUAAGCUCUACCGACGACCGUUCUAGACCUAGUCACAUUGGUAUGUUAUAAUUGUCUAAUGUUUUAUUGUUAUAUUGAGGAGUUUUGAAAAAGUUAACUAUUUUACCAACAUUGUGCUAUGAAUGAUGCAACUAUAUAAUGGGAAACAAAUCUCCUUGAGUUACAAGAAGUUUGUAGGGAGACUUCUCCUCUCAAUUUAGAACUACAUA